This 251-nucleotide ribosomal RNA is filed under the name Oribacterium sp. WCC10. RNAcentral describes it as "23S rRNA. Bacterial LSU". It matches the Rfam family "Bacterial large subunit ribosomal RNA", at positions 2669 to 2925 of the family's 2925-position model. Lineage: Bacteria; Bacillati; Bacillota; Clostridia; Lachnospirales; Lachnospiraceae. The record is from RNAcentral.
GAGCUGUCCUUAGUACGAGAGGACCGGGAUGGACUGACCUCUGUUGGACCUGUUGGAGAUCAACUCCAGUGCAGGGUAGGCAUGUCGGGACUGGAUAAACGCUGAAGGCAUCUAAGCGUGAAGCCACCCUCAAGAUGAGAUAUCCCAUCGCAAGAGUAAGACCCCUUGAAGACUACGAGGUAGAUAGGGCUAAGCUGUAAGUGCUGUAAAGCAUUCAGGUGAUAGUUACUAAUAGGUCGAGGGUUUGACCA